This 489-nucleotide ribosomal RNA is filed under the name uncultured Pseudomonadota bacterium. RNAcentral's name for it is "bacterial SSU rRNA". It matches the Rfam family "Bacterial small subunit ribosomal RNA", at positions 355 to 861 of the family's 1533-position model. The record is from RNAcentral. Lineage: Bacteria; Pseudomonadati; Pseudomonadota.
UGGGGAAUAUUGGACAAUGGGGGAAACCCUGAUCCAGCAAUGCCGCGUGAGUGAAGAAGGCCUUAGGGUUGUAAAGCUCUUUCGCCCGCGACGAUGAUGACGGUAGCGGGAGAAGAAGCCCCGGCUAAUUCCGUGCCAGCAGCCGCGGUAAUACGGAAGGGGCGAGCGUUGUUCGGAAUCACUGGGCGUAAAGCGCGCGUAGGCGGCUUGGCAAGUGCGGCGUGAAAGUCCUGGGCUCAACCUGGGGACGGCGCUGCGGACUGCCUGGCUGGAGUCCGGAAGAGGGUGGUGGAAUUCCGAGUGUAGAGGUGAAAUUCGUAGAUAUUCGGAGGAACACCGGUGGCGAAGGCGGCCACCUGGUCCGGCACUGACGCUCAAGCGCGAAAGCGUGGGGGAGCAAACAGGAUUAGAUACCCUGGUAGUCCACGCCGUAAACGAUGGGUGCUAGAUGUCGGGGGGCUUGCCCUUCGGUGUCGGAGCUAACGCGUU